UGAAUACGAGAUGCUACGGCGUCGAAGCAGUCUAUGUCAUACUUCCAAGAAAAGCCUGCACUGUCAUAAACAAAUAAUGCCUGUACCAUAACCGACACAGGUGGGUAGGUAGAGUAUACUAAGGGGCGCGAGAUAACUCUCUCUAAGGAACUCGGCAAAAUGACUCCGUAACUUCGGGAGAAGGAGUGCCUUAUUUAUAAGGUUGCAAUAACAAGAUCCAAGCAACUGUUUACCAAAAACACAGGUCUCCGCUAAGUCGUAAGACGAUGUAUGGGGGCUGACGCCUGCCCAGUGCCAGAAGGUUAAAGAAGUUGGUUAGCAUCCGCGAAGCUGAUAACUGAAGCCCUGGUGAACGGCGGCCGUAACGAUAACGGUCCUAAGGUAGCGAAAUUCCUUGUCGGGUAAGUUCCGACCCGCACGAAAGGCGUAAUGAUUUGGAUACUGUCUCGGAGAGGGGCUCGGUGAAAUAGACUUGUCUGUGAAGAUGCGGACUACCUGCACCAGGACAGAAAGACCCUAUGAAGCUUUACUGUAACCUGAAAUUGAAAUUGGACUUUACUUGCGCAGUAUAGGUGGGAGGCGUUGAGAAUAUUCUUGCGGGAUUAUUGGAGCCAUCAGUGAGAUACCACUCUUGUAAUGUUAGAUUUCUAACUUUGUAUCAUUAUCUGGUCAAAGAACAGUUUCAGGCGGGCAGUUUGACUGGGGCGGUCGCCUCCUAAACGGUAACGGAGGCGCACAAAGGUUUCCUCUGAACGGGUAGAAAUCGUAUCUAGAGUGUAAAGGCAUAAGGAAGCUUGACUGUGAGACCUACAAGUCGAGCAGGGACGAAAGUCGGUCUUAGUGAUCUGACGGUGCUGAGUGGAAAGGCCGUCACUCAACGGAUAAAAGUUACUCUAAGGAUAACAGGCUGAUCUCCCCCAAGAGUUCACAUCGACGGGGAGGUUUGGCACCUCGAUGUCGGCUCAUCGCAUCCUGGGGCGGUAGUACGUCCCAAGGGUUGGGCUGUUCGCCCAUGAAAGCGGUACGCGAGCUGGGUUCAGAACGUCGUGAGACAGUUCGGUCCAUAUCCGGUGUAGGCGUUAGAAUAUUGAGAGGAGCCUUCUUUAGUACGAGAGGACCGAGAAGGACAUACCUCUGGUGUACCAGUUAUCGUGCCAACGGUAAACGCUGGGUAGCUACGUGUGGAGUGGAUAACCGCUGAAAGCAUCUAAGUGGGAAGCCCACCUCAAGAUAAGUAUUCC
This 1241-nucleotide ribosomal RNA is filed under the name metagenome. Its description in RNAcentral is "bacterial LSU rRNA". It matches the Rfam family "Bacterial large subunit ribosomal RNA", at positions 1564 to 2814 of the family's 2925-position model. The record is from RNAcentral.